Molecule: long non-coding RNA, 4182 nt
Organism: Cuculus canorus (common cuckoo)
Lineage: Eukaryota; Metazoa; Chordata; Aves; Cuculiformes; Cuculidae
Exons: 3
Source: RefSeq, a predicted model, not a curated record
UCCUCCGCUGUCAUGAAGAGCUGUGGAUGAAGGAAGCCGGUGAGGGUGUUGUGGAGCCAGGAAACCCCACUGCGCUCUUAGGGAAUGGCUCUAUCUGGAAACUGCUCCACAGGCUGGAGAGGCCUGGGUUUGUGGCAGAAGCACACUUUAGAUAAAUUGCUUUUGUUGGCAUGUUAGAUAUAUAAUUCAUGUCCUUAUGCAUGUUGGAGGAGCAGAGGGUGCACAGGGCCGGAUCCGAAUGGUUUAUUCCUCAGUUGAGCUCAUUCCCUCGUGCCGUGUGCUGUCCCCUCCCCGUGGCGUCUCCCUGCACUGAGAUGGAGGCAAAGCAGCAGGGAGUGUGUUAGACCUGGCGAAACAGCAAAGCUGGUACCCAUCUCCCUCUGCGUUGUGCUGGGAGAUCAGAAGGGAUAUUGAAGCUGCGGAUGUGUUCACUCCUCCACAAGACCCGGGAAGACAUUUCUGGCCCCGGCUCAGCCCUUGGCGUCGCAGGGAUGGCCACGGCAGACCCAUCCCCAGGCACAUCCCUGGCAGCAGCCAAGGCACAACCCCGAAGAUCCCCUCUCCCCUCCUGCCUAAUCCCAUUCAGACCCUGUCCUCCACUUCUUCCAGGCGAGACUGGAAGCGUGAGAGACCGGCUGCUUCGUUUAAGGCUGAAUAGAUUAGCUCUCACCCUGGGGAGCAGCUCGCUCAGCUUGCACUGGAGAUAAGCGGGGCCGUGUCCUCCCUGCCGUCGGACUCCUUGGCAGCUGGCGGAGCUGUGAUUAGCCUCCAUUUAUGCAAGCUGUUAAGCAAACACCUGCGAGGUUCAGGGACAGAGAAGCCAAGUCAUUUUUGCAAGCAAAUAGUCACGUUGCAUUAAACAGAGAACAUUUUCCUUUCUAUUUGUGGUGCCUUUUAGAGGUCUGAGGCAUCUCUGGUCCCUGUGAAGUUUGUAGGGGUGCAAGGCAGAGAGGUUGCUGUGGGCAGCAGGAGCAGCGGUGACUCUGGCAUCGUGGGAUACUCUUGUGGCGCUGAGCUGAUUGCUGUGAGCACAAGCACGGUUGUGACUUCUGGGAUUGCUGCUUCAGCUGACAAUUUCUAAACUUGUUCUGCUCUUAUUGCUUUCUCGGCUGUUCGCAGUUCUCUGUAGUUCCCCCUAAUCUCCUGCAAUAGACCCAUCGUUAUUGCCGGCGGUGUGAUGGGAAGCGUCACAGCGGCACCGGGAUGCUGAGAUCUAUCCGAGUGUUAAUAAAAGGGCUUAACGCAGAGAAAAGGAAAUCCUGCUCCUGCGGGGACCUUGCCGAAGAGCCUCAUCUAAUUAACCUCGGAGGCGAUCGCUUACAGUGGUGUUGUGCACCAGCAAAGAGCCCAAAAAUAGUCUCCAUCCAAACGCAGCUGGCAGGCAGGCAGCUUUCCGCCUCGGAAAGCCUGACCCGAUCUGAGCCGAGAAGGGCAGAACAGGGCUGGAGUAGCAUUACCUCUCCAGAAGUUUAACUCAGAUUGCAGGGACGUUGCUGCGUAUGAACACAGGUGUUUUCUCCCGGCAGGAUCCCUGAGCCCCAGUGCGGACUCGGGCGGUUGGUCUGUGCUGGCGGCUCUCUGGCAGUGGAUCUGCCUCAUCUGCAGGGAUGGUGUACACAUAACUCUGGGAGACGGAUGGAUUUCUUCCUCCCUGAGCAUUUCCCUCCAGUCCUACAGGAAUUCUUUCAGUGAAAGCCUUUGCUCGCUUCUUCACAGCUACCUGGAGAAACCUCGUCCUCUCAGAUAAAGGACGCGUCAGUAUUGCUGUCACCCACCACUGUAACACAUCCCCUCCCUCGUGGCCGCGUGACGGUGAGAUCUUCAGCGACCGAGCAACCUGCUGGGCUCUCCUCUGUCCUGUCUCCACUGUGCCUUACGGUGUUCAUUCUUCCCUAUAUUUUUGCAGUCAGUUUGCCAAGUCCUUUCCACAUACAGGAGAAAAAAGGAGAAUAGCUCUGUAAUUCACCCCGGACGCAAGCAGCUGGCGGCAGGAGCCCAGCCUCCGGCCCCACGGCCCCUUGAGCAGAUCUCCUGGCGGAGCAGAGGCAGGUGCCCAUCCUCCCCGCUGGCAGCCUCGUCUGGGAACACAGGGAUGCUCCUCUGGGCAGCUGUGAAGAGCUUGGGGCAGCCAAGGGGUUGGAGACAGAAUCCCAUGGGGUUAAUUUGGGGUUUAGAGAGUUGCUUUCCACUUAAAUUGCCCAAAUUGAGUAUUUCCUCUUUCAUAUUAUUUUUCAAAGAGACCGAGCUUUUCCUCAGCCUCGAGGGAAAUGUGCUUGGAUCCAUUUCUCUCCCAAAGUCUCACAGCAAUCCUGCCUAUAAUUUGGGGUCUUUUACAUGAACUAAAAAUAGCUGCGGUGUUUGUAGCUCUGCGGUAAGCUGUUCCUUGCUCUCGCUGUACUUGCCUUUAGGCUGCCUUGUAGGUACAUAUGUUCCUAAAAUUCCUGCUCCACUCUAGGUGCUUUUCUGCUUCUGGCUUAAAUCUUGCUUGUCUAGGGAGGAAACGGGGGAGAAAUAGCUAUUUAUUGAUCUGUGCACUGCUGGUGAGAAGGGGGCCGGACCCUGCCCCUCGUCUGGGAGGUCAGGGAUGCAUCCCAGGGCGCUGGGAGCUGGGUUAAUGCAGCGUGCUGGCUCCUCUGCUCUGGGAGAGGGGGGAUUUGCUGCCUCCCUGCGCUGCCUUCCCUCGUGGACCCCCUCCAGGCAGGGGAAUUGGCCUUUCACCGCAGCAGAAAGGCAGUUGCAGAGCCGUGGGCACCCUCGCUGCCCCGCUGGGGGAUGCUGGCACAGCCUGGCACAUUCUAGAUUCUGCCCUUGGUGUUCGGGAGGGUGAGUGAGCAGGGAGUGAUGAGGAGAGUUCAGCUGCGUCCCUCCUCUGCGUCAGGAGCCGUUUGUGGUUUGCUCUGGAGAGCAGGAUGCGGCCCUGUGCCUGCUAAUGGCUUGGAAAGCCUGUUGGGCAGAGAGCUGUCGGGGAAGGGAGCAGGGAAGGGAGCAGGCGUUCCUGGGCUGCUGCUCUGCUCUGUAGGAGGAAAGGCUUCAAACAGCAAUUAACUGUCGCUGCCAUUUCCAGAGAAACAGCUCUUGGCGCGCUGGACAAUGGGCUGCAGGAAGCAAACAGGUUAAAAGCCCUAAUUCUGCUAGGAUAUAUUUAGGUGGAUAUUUUUCUUUCAAAGGAACGUAGGUUAAAAAGGCUCUGACUCCUUUAAAUAGGCUUUUCUUCCCUUAACCAGCUCUGAGCUCCAUUAAGAGCACGGGCUGUUCCUUCCACCCAGCCGGGACGGCUGUCCUGGUGCUCGUGACACACGCUGAACACAGCGGAGCUUCCUUCCAGCGGCGCGCGGGGGAUCUGCAAACUGCCCCUCAAGUUAGCAGCAGAGGGGCUGAAAGAAAAGGGCCAAUUUUCCCUUGACAGCUACCAAAAGAAAAAAGUUAUCUGCCGCUGCCUGCUGGUUAUAUUAUUUAUUCUGUUAGCUGAAGCAUAGCAGUGUAAAAGGUAAUUUAGUCUGGGUUAAAGCAGCACAAUACAAAACUCAUUACCAAGCCGGAACCAUGUUCUCCUGCUCCUGCUGCCUUGCCUCGAUGUCCCUGGGUCCCUCUUACGGCACAGGCUGGGGCAGCAGUGGACCCACAGAGGAGAACCGGUGCCAGUAAAGCCUCGGUUGGCAGCAGCGAUCGGCGGUGGCUGCACGGGAACGAAUAUGGAGCUCAUUUCCCAGCACCCACUGCAAGGUCACCUCCACCAUGGCCUCCUGCUGCCUCUCAGCGCUGACGCUAGCAAGCGCUGCUGAUGCUGCCAUCCUGGAGCUGAGGCUUGUGCUUAACGUGGGAAGGCAGCAGCAUCUGUCCCUCACCGCUUCCCUGUUAGCGUGCUGCUACGAAGGCAAAAAGCCAUCUGCCUGCAGAGGUUGAGUUCCACGUUCAGUGACAUUUGCUAACCCAAGAAGAGAAAUCACCACUGUGGGGAGACCAGGCCCAUGGCUCUUCAUGUGAUACCAAAUCUCCUGACGUGCCCUUCUGGCGACUGCUGGAAGAAUCUCAACGUGGGGUGAUGGUCCUGUGCUGCUCCUGCCUGGAUGUCUCCUCUUCCUCAUAAGUCAUGCACCCAAGUGGAUGCCGGCUCCGGGCUGGCUUGGUUUCUGUCCUACCCCAGCGUGCCACCUGCCCACAGCGCUUUGCCCGUUCUUGAGC